This 500-nucleotide ribosomal RNA is filed under the name uncultured Glomeromycotina. RNAcentral describes it as "SSU rRNA". It matches the Rfam family "Eukaryotic small subunit ribosomal RNA", at positions 591 to 1092 of the family's 1831-position model. Lineage: Eukaryota; Fungi; Glomeromycota. The record is from RNAcentral.
CCAAUAGCGUAUAUUAAAGUUGUUGCAGUUAAAAAGCUCGUAGUUGAAUUUCGGGGUUAGCAGGUCGGUCGUGCCACUGGUAUGAACUGGCCUCGCUGAUUCCUCCCUCUUGAUGAGCCGUAAUGUCAUUAAUUUGGUGUCGCGGGGAAUCAGGACUGUUACUUUGAAAAAAUUAGAGUGUUUAAAGCAGGCAAGCGCUUGAAUACAUUAGCAUGGAAUAAUGAAAUAGGACGUUUGAUCUUAUUUUGUUGGUUUCUAAGAUUGACGCAAUGAUUAAUAGGGAUAGUUGGGGGCAUUAGUAUUCAAUUGUCAGAGGUGAAAUUCUUGGAUUUAUUGAAGACUAACUACUGCGAAAGCAUUUGCCAAGGAUGUUUUCAUUAAUCAAGAACGAAAGUUAGGGGAUCGAAGACGAUCAGAUACCGUCGUAGUCUUAACCAUAAACUAUGCCGACUAGGGAUCGGAUGAUGUUAAUUUUUUAAUGACUCAUUCGGCGCCUUACG